CAGUCACCGCGGGAAUACAGAGGGUGCGAGCGUUAAUCGGAUUUACUGGGCGUAAAGCGUGCGUAGGCGGCUAAUUGAGUCGGAUGUGAAAUCCCCGAGCUUAACUUGGGAAUUGCAUUCGAUACUGGUUAGCUAGAGUGUGGGAGAGGAUGGUAGAAUUCCAGGUGUAGCGGUGAAAUGCGUAGAGAUCUGGAGGAAUACCGAUGGCGAAGGCAGCCAUCUGGCCUAACACUGACGCUGAGGUACGAAAGCAUGGGGAGCAAACAGGAUUAGAUACCCGCGUAGUCCCUGUCUCUUAUAC
This 301-nucleotide ribosomal RNA is filed under the name uncultured bacterium. Its description in RNAcentral is "partial 16S ribosomal RNA". It matches the Rfam family "Bacterial small subunit ribosomal RNA", at positions 509 to 807 of the family's 1533-position model. The record is from RNAcentral.